Molecule: long non-coding RNA, 123 nt
Organism: Otolemur garnettii (small-eared galago)
Lineage: Eukaryota; Metazoa; Chordata; Mammalia; Primates; Galagidae
Exons: 3
Source: RefSeq, a predicted model, not a curated record
CUUCCAUCUGGACAAUCCAUCUACCCAUGAGUGAUCACAGUAUCAGAAGCAUACCUGCACCUUGACAAGGCAGGGGACCCCCCCCCCAUUUCCAUGACUCUUCAGAGGUUCAGACAAGGGAAG